UAAUACAUGCAAGUCGAGCGAACGGACGAGAAGCUUGCUUCUCUGAUGUUAGCGGCGGACGGGUGAGUAACACGUGGAUAACCUACCUAUAAGACUGGGAUAACUUCGGGAAACCGGAGCUAAUACCGGAUAAUAUUUUGAACCGCAUGGUUCAAAAGUGAAAGACGGUCUUGCUGUCACUUAUAGAUGGAUCCGCGCUGCAUUAGCUAGUUGGUAAGGUAACGGCUUACCAAGGCAACGAUGCAUAGCCGACCUGAGAGGGUGAUCGGCCACACUGGAACUGAGACACGGUCCAGACUCCUACGGGAGGCAGCAGUAGGGAAUCUUCCGCAAUGGGCGAAAGCCUGACGGAGCAACGCCGCGUGAGUGAUGAAGGUCUUCGGAUCGUAAAACUCUGUUAUUAGGGAAGAACAUAUGUGUAAGUAACUGUGCACAUCUUGACGGUACCUAAUCAGAAAGCCACGGCUAACUACGUGCCAGCAGCCGCGGUAAUACGUAGGUGGCAAGCGUUAUCCGGAAUUAUUGGGCGUAAAGCGCGCGUAGGCGGUUUUUUAAGUCUGAUGUGAAAGCCCACGGCUCAGCCGUGGAGGGUCAUUGGAAACUGGAAAACUUGAGUGCAGAAGAGGAAAGUGGAAUUCCAUGUGUAGCGGUGAAAUGCGCAGAGAUAUGGAGGUACACCAGUGGCGAAGGCGA
Molecule: ribosomal RNA, 693 nt
Filed under: uncultured Staphylococcus sp.
Lineage: Bacteria; Bacillati; Bacillota; Bacilli; Caryophanales; Staphylococcaceae
Description: bacterial SSU rRNA
Rfam family: Bacterial small subunit ribosomal RNA
Source: RNAcentral